GCUCCAAUAGCGUAUAUUAAAGUUGUUGCAGUUAAAAAGCUCGUAGUUGAAUUUCUGGGCGGCCCGCCGGUCUUCCAUGUGUUGUACKGGGCGGCGCCGGCCAUCCUUGUGGAGAGGGCUCGCAUUUGGUUGCGGGUCGGAUCUGCAUCAUUUACUGUGAAAAAAUUAGAGUGUUUAAAGCAGGCUGUCGCUUGAAUACAUUAGCAUGGAAUAAUAAGAUAGGACUUCGGUCUAUUUUGUUGGUUGCGAACCGAGGUAAUGAUUAAUAGGGAUAGUUGGGGGUAUUCAUAUUUAAUUGUCAGAGGUGAAAUUCUUGGAUUUAUGAAAGAUGAACAACUGCGAAAGCAUUUACCAAGGAUGUUUUCAUUAAUCAARAACGAAAGUCAGGGGAUCGAAGAGGAUUAGAUACCCUCGUAGUCUUGACCAUAAACUAUGCCGACUCAGGAUUGGCAGGCGUUUUCUAACGACCCUGUCA
RNAcentral lists this ribosomal RNA (475 nucleotides) under Bicosoecida sp. Its description in RNAcentral is "SSU rRNA". Lineage: Eukaryota; Bigyra; Bicosoecida. The record is from RNAcentral.